RNAcentral lists this ribosomal RNA (254 nucleotides) under uncultured bacterium. RNAcentral's name for it is "partial 16S ribosomal RNA". It matches the Rfam family "Bacterial small subunit ribosomal RNA", at positions 524 to 776 of the family's 1533-position model. The record is from RNAcentral.
UACGUAGGGCGCAAGCGUUAUCCGGAAUUAUUGGGCGUAAAGAGCUCGUAGGCGGUUUGUCGCGUCUGCCGUGAAAGUCCGGGGCUCAACUCCGGAUCUGCGGUGGGUACGGGCAGACUAGAGUGAUGUAGGGGAGACUGGAAUUCCUGGUGUAGCGGUGAAAUGCGCAGAUAUCAGGAGGAACACCGGUGGCGAAGGCGGGUCUCUGGGCCUGUACUGACGCUGGAGGAGCGAAAGCGUGGGGAGCGAACAGG